This 406-nucleotide ribosomal RNA is filed under the name uncultured bacterium. RNAcentral describes it as "partial 16S ribosomal RNA". It matches the Rfam family "Bacterial small subunit ribosomal RNA", at positions 30 to 526 of the family's 1533-position model. The record is from RNAcentral.
AUUGAACGCUGGCGGCAGGCCUAACACAUGCAAGUCGAGCGAGCGGCUGACGGGUGAGUAAUUCCUAGGUAUCUGCCUUGUCGUGUGGGAUGACUAAUGUAAACGGUAGCUAAUACCGCACCCCAUUGGAUUUGCCCAGAUGGGUUUAGCUUGUAGGUGAGGUAAAGGCUCACCAAGGCGACGAUCCCUAGCUGGUCUGAGAGGAUGACCAGCCACACUGGAACUGAGACACGGGCCAGACUCCUACGGGAGGCAGCAGUGGGGAAUAUUGCACAAUGGGCGAAAGCCUGAUGCAGCCAUGCCGCGUGUAUGAAGAAGGCCUUCGGGUUGUAAAGUACUGUCAGCAGGGAGGCGUUACCCGAAGAAGAAGCACCGGCUAACUACGUGCCAGCAGCCGCGGUAAUUC